AAGAAAUUAGUUUAUUUAAAACAUUAACUUGUCAAGUUAAAGAUAUAAUAUUAUAUUUCUUA
This 62-nucleotide transfer RNA is filed under the name Physopelta gutta (gutta bug). RNAcentral describes it as "tRNA-Asp". Lineage: Eukaryota; Metazoa; Arthropoda; Insecta; Hemiptera; Largidae. RNAcentral also lists the same sequence under 1 other name. The record is from RNAcentral.